Molecule: ribosomal RNA, 503 nt
Filed under: uncultured bacterium
Lineage: Bacteria
Description: partial 16S ribosomal RNA
Rfam family: Bacterial small subunit ribosomal RNA
Source: RNAcentral
AUUGAACGCUGGCGGCAGGCUUAACACAUGCGAGUCGAGCGGGGUGAUGGUGCUUGCACUAUCACUUAGCGGCGGACGGGUGAGUAAUGCUUAGGAAUCUGCCUAUUAGUGGGGGACAACAUCUCGAAAGGGAUGCUAAUACCGCAUACGUCCUACGGGAGAAAGCAGGGGAUCACUUGUGACCUUGCGCUAGUAGAUGAGCCUAAGUCGGAUUAGCUAGUUGGUGGGGCAAAGGCCUACCAAGGCGACGAUCUGUAGCGGGUCUGAGAGGAUGAUCCGCCACACUGGGACUGAGACAAGGCCCAGACUCCUACGGGAGGCAGCAGUGGGGAAUAUUGGACAAUGGGGGGAACCCUGAUCCAGCCAUGCCGCGUGUGUGAAGAAGGCCUUAUGGUUGUAAAGCACUUUAAGCGAGGAGGAGGCUCUUUUGGUUAAUACCCAAGAUGAGUGGACGUUACCCGCAGAAUAAGCACCGGCUAACUCUGUGCCAGCCGCCGCCGUAA